This 86-nucleotide transfer RNA is filed under the name Kiritimatiellia bacterium. Its description in RNAcentral is "Kiritimatiellae bacterium (gut metagenome) tRNA-Leu". It matches the Rfam family "tRNA". Rfam says of the family: Transfer RNA (tRNA) molecules are approximately 80 nucleotides in length. Their secondary structure includes four short double-helical elements and three loops (D, anti-codon, and T loops). Lineage: Bacteria; Pseudomonadati; Kiritimatiellota; Kiritimatiellia. The record is from RNAcentral.
GCCGGAGUGGCGAAAUGGCAGACGCAGCAGACUCAAAAUCUGCCGUAUUCACGUACGUGUGGGUUCGACUCCCACCUCCGGCACCA